UACAGAGGUGGCAAGCGUUGUUCGGAAUUACUGGGCGUAAAGGGCGCGUAGGCGGCCAUCUAAGUCAGACGUGAAAUCCCCCGGCUUAACCUGGGAACUGCGUCUGAUACUGGACGGCUUGAGUAUGGGAGAGGGAUGUAGAAUUCCAGGUGUAGCGGUGAAAUGCGUAGAUAUCUGGAGGAACACCGGUGGCGAAGGCGGCGUCCUGGACCAACACUGACACUGAUGAGCGAAAGCCAGGGGAGCAAACGGG
This 253-nucleotide ribosomal RNA is filed under the name uncultured bacterium. RNAcentral describes it as "partial 16S ribosomal RNA". It matches the Rfam family "Bacterial small subunit ribosomal RNA", at positions 524 to 776 of the family's 1533-position model. The record is from RNAcentral.